GUGCACGCUCUGUUUACACAUCCACUCACACCUGUGCACCCUCUGUAGUUCUAUGGCCUGGAGGGCCCUGUCCUCCUGCUGUGGUUCUACGUCUUUACACACACACAUUGAAAUAAAGUCUAAUGGAAUGUAUGUCGCGUUUAACGCUCCAGAAAUACAACUUUCAGCAACGGAUCUCUUGGCUCUCGCAUCGAUGAAGAACGCAGCGAAAUGCGAUAAGUAAUGUGAAUUGCAGAAUUCAGUGAAUCAUCGAAUCUUUGAACGCACCUUGCGCCCUUUGGCUAUUCCGAAGGGCAUGCCUGUUUGAGUAUCAUGAACACCUCAACUCUCAUGGCUUGCCAUGAUGAGCUUGGACUUUGGGGGUCUUGCUGGCCUGUGGUCGGCUCCUCUCAAAUGAAUCAGCUUGCCGGUGUUUGGUGGGAUCACAGGUGUGAUAACUAUCUACGCUUGUGGUUUUCCACCAGGUAACCCUCAGCAAUGGAGGUUCGCCGGAGCUUAUAAAUGUCUCUCCCCAGCGAGGACAGAUUUUGACCGUUUGAUCUCAAAUCAGGUAGGACUACCCGCUGAACUUAAGCAUAUCAAUAAGCGGAGGAAAAGAAACUAACAAGGAUUCCUCCUAGUAACUGCGAGUGAAGCGGGAAGAGCUCAAUUUAAAAUCUGGC
Molecule: ribosomal RNA, 662 nt
Filed under: uncultured Tomentella
Lineage: Eukaryota; Fungi; Basidiomycota; Agaricomycetes; Thelephorales; Thelephoraceae
Description: eukaryotic LSU rRNA
Rfam family: 5.8S ribosomal RNA (bases 159-313)
Source: RNAcentral